RNAcentral lists this ribosomal RNA (765 nucleotides) under Salmonella enterica subsp. enterica serovar Virchow. Its description in RNAcentral is "partial 23S ribosomal RNA". It matches the Rfam family "Bacterial large subunit ribosomal RNA", at positions 711 to 1477 of the family's 2925-position model. The record is from RNAcentral. Lineage: Bacteria; Pseudomonadati; Pseudomonadota; Gammaproteobacteria; Enterobacterales; Enterobacteriaceae.
AGACCCGAAACCCGGUGAUCUAGCCAUGGGCAGGUUGAAGGUUGGGUAACACUAACUGGAGGACCGAACCGACUAAUGUUGAAAAAUUAGCGGAUGACCUGUGGCUGGGGGUGAAAGGCCAAUCAAACCGGGAGAUAGCUGGUUCUCCCCGAAAGCUAUUUAGGUAGCGCCUCGUGAAUUCAUCUCCGGGGGUAGAGCACUGUUUCGGCUAGGGGGCCAUCCCGGCUUACCAACCCGAUGCAAACUGCGAAUACCGGAGAAUGUUAUCACGGGAGACACACGGCGGGUGCUAACGUCCGUCGUGAAGAGGGAAACAACCCAGACCGCCAGCUAAGGUCCCAAAGUCAUGGUUAAGUGGGAAACGAUGUGGGAAGGCCCAGACAGCCAGGAUGUUGGCUUAGAAGCAGCCAUCAUUUAAAGAAAGCGUAAUAGCUCACUGGUCGAGUCGGCCUGCGCGGAAGAUGUAACGGGGCUAAACCAUGCACCGAAGCUGCGGCAGCGACACUCAGGUGUUGUUGGGUAGGGGAGCGUUCUGUAAGCCUGUGAAGGUGGCCUGUGAGGGUUGCUGGAGGUAUCAGAAGUGCGAAUGCUGACAUAAGUAACGAUAAAGCGGGUGAAAAGCCCGCUCGCCGGAAGACCAAGGGUUCCUGUCCAACGUUAAUCGGGGCAGGGUGAGUCGACCCCUAAGGCGAGGCCGAAAGGCGUAGUCGAUGGGAAACGGGUUAAUAUUCCCGUACUUGGUGUUACUGCGAAGGGGGGACGGAG